AUUGGUGGAUGAAAUUAUUGAAAUAUUACCAUUUUAUGUAUUUAUUUGUUUAUUUAUUUGAGGGUGUGUGUAGUGCAACGAACUUUAUAAUGGGAUGGAUUAUUCAGAUGUUCUCAUGAUGUGCACCCAAAGGAUGGCUGCCCCUCUUUUGGUACCAAGUUUUUAAAUUCAUUAAUAAUAACACUUUCAUGAGGUUGUACAGUGGGGUACAGAAAUAAUUCGAAUUUUUUUCAAAGUGAAUCAGUGUUAGAAAUCACUGAACUUCAAAAAGCUCCAGCAGUGUCAAAAAUGAAUGCAUUUUUGAGCCGUAAAAUGCAUUGCGAAGAUAGUAGAAUCUAGUUUCAUGGUGUAACAAGUUUGCAUUAUAAAGUUGUGAAAAUAUACAUCAAGAGAGCUUUUUGUUACAUACUAUCUACCAUCUCGUACUACCACCCCAGCUGCAAUCACCGCUUGCAUCCUAUAAGGCAUAGUGGAAAUCAAUGUACGAAGCCACUCUAUAGAUAUGGUAUCCCAUACGGAUUGAAUUUUUUCUAUCAUUUCUAGCUUACUAUUAGGUCUACUAUGAUGUUUGAGCAAAUCUUUUACAACCAUCCAAACGUUCUCUAUUGGAUUCAAGUCCGGUGAAUUGGCAGGCCAAAACAACUUUUCUAUACCAUGAGCACGUCUCCAUUGCAGUGGCAAUGAGCUACGGUGGACUGGAGCGCCAUCCUCCAUCAAUAUCAAUUGCUCAGGGUCAUCAUGUAAGAAAUAAAAGCCACUUAAUACUCCUUCAUAAACAAUAGUGACAAAAUCCCUUGCUGAUCUCUUAUCUAAAGGAAUGAUGACCAAUGGAGACUUAUCAAAGCCAGUAAAGGCACCCCAAACCAUCACUGAACUACGUCCAGACUUAAAACUUGGUGCUAUACAAUCCCAAUUAUAUUUUUCAUACACCUUCCGCCACACUCUAAUUUGCCGUGGAUUUUUGCCAGUUUCGAAUGACGACUCAUCCGUCCAAAUAAUAUUACACCAAUCUUCAAACGUCCAACUCUCAUAAGCACGUGCAAAUGCAAGCCUAUCUGCUUUAUGUUUGACAUUCAAAUAGAGCUUUUUAGGUGCUAUACAAUUUCU
Molecule: long non-coding RNA, 1107 nt
Filed under: Physcomitrium patens
Lineage: Eukaryota; Viridiplantae; Streptophyta; Bryopsida; Funariales; Funariaceae
Description: long non-coding RNA (PPAT_LNC004627)
Source: RNAcentral